UUUUCCCCUAGAGGCUUCGCAGGUGUGACUACUGUGCCAUAUGUGUGUCAGUAGGUGACAGAGAGGAGAGAGGCUAUGCCUACACUCAGUGAUCUGACCUAUGAACAUCUGAAUGAUUUACAGCCUAACAUU
This is a small nucleolar RNA of Mus caroli (Ryukyu mouse), 132 nucleotides long. RefSeq annotates it as small nucleolar RNA SNORA17. Lineage: Eukaryota; Metazoa; Chordata; Mammalia; Rodentia; Muridae. The record is from RefSeq and is a predicted model, not a curated record.